UCAGGAACAAGACAAGGAUGCCCAGUCUCUCCACUUUGAUUCAACAUGAUAGCGAAAACCCUAGCCAGAGAAAUUAGCCAAGAAAAAAGAAUAAAAG
This is a long non-coding RNA of Hyaena hyaena (striped hyena), 97 nucleotides long. RefSeq lists it as uncharacterized. The transcript is spliced from 3 exons. The record is from RefSeq and is a predicted model, not a curated record. NCBI's taxonomy places the organism in Eukaryota, Metazoa, Chordata, Mammalia, Carnivora, Hyaenidae.